CACCCACACAAGUUAUCUGCACCCUUAAUAAUGAAUUUUUUACACGAAGAUUCAAUAAGUUUUACACAAGGAUUCAACAAGAAUUUUCUUCUCUGUAAAUCACAUUGGUGGAAAAUGGAAAUCCACCUCCAAAAUAUUACAAAUCACUUGUUCGGAUCUAAAAGGGUAGAUGAGAUGGAAGGCAAAAAAAAAAAAGAACAAUGAAUUAAAAGGUCUACUAUG
Molecule: long non-coding RNA, 222 nt
Filed under: Capsicum annuum
Lineage: Eukaryota; Viridiplantae; Streptophyta; Magnoliopsida; Solanales; Solanaceae
Description: long non-coding RNA (CANN_LNC009661)
Source: RNAcentral